GGGCGAGAGUAGCACUAGGAUGGGUGACCUCCUGCGAAGUCCUUAUAUUUCACCUAUUUUCUUAGGAAGUCCUCGUGUUGCACCCAUUUUUUUGCAGAUGAUUCUUUCGACGAUACGCGCGACUUGAAUUAUGGUCCUCAGGUUUAUUCGCAAAUGUGAGUCACGGCACCGUAGCAUUUUACUUGAUAUUAGAACGAGCACGAGAGGUGUAGUGCGCGCGCACAAGGAAACAAAUGACGGGAGACGGAAGAAAGGAGAAGGAGUUUAUGUAUUUGCAGCGUGGAAUUAAACGUGUGCGAUCAUACCAGCACAAAUGCACCGGAUCUCAUCAGAACUCCGCAGUUAAGUGUGCUUUGGCGAAAGUAGUACAGUGAUGGGUUACCUCCUGGGAAGUUCUCGUGUUACACCCAUUUUCUUUUUUUCAGAUGUGCCGUUCGACGUUACGCACGACUUUAAUUAUGGUCCGCAGAUUUAUUCGUAAAUUUAAGUCACGGCGCCGUGGCAUUUUACUUGAUAUUUAAACGAGAUCGAGAGGUGCAGUGCGUACGCACAAGGAAACAAAUGACGGGAGGGGGAAGAUAGGAGAAGGAGUUUAUGUAUUUGCUGCGCAAAAUUAAACAGGUGCGAUCAUACCAGCACAAAUGCAGCGGAUCCCAUCAGAACUCCACAGUUAAGUGUGCUUGGGCGGGAGUAGUACUCGGAUGGGUGACCUCUUGACAGGCCUCGUGUCGCACUAAUUUUUUUUUUCCGACGGGUCGUUCGACGUUACGCGCGACUGGAACUAGGGUCCACUAGUUUAUACGCAAAUGUGAGUCAAGAAGCAGGGGUAUUUUAAUCGAUAUUAGAACGAGAAGGAGAGAAGCAGUGUGCACGCACAAGGAAACAAAUGACGGGAGGGGGGAUGGAGGGAGAAAAAGUGUAUGUAUUUGCAGCGCAGAAUGAAACAUGAGCAAUCAUACCAGCACCAAUGCAACGGAUUCUAUCAGAACUCCGCAAGUUAAGGGUGCUUGGGCGAGAGUAGCACUAGCAUGGGUGACCACCUGCGAAGUCCUUAUAUUUCACCCAUUUUCUUAGGAAGUCCUCGUGUUACACCCAUUUUUUUGCAGAUGAUUCUUUCGACGAUACGCGCGACUUGAAUUAUGGUCCUCAGGUUUAUUCGCAAAUGUGAGUCACGGCACCGUAGCAUUUUACUUGAUAUUAGAACUAGCACGGG
Molecule: long non-coding RNA, 1213 nt
Filed under: Carica papaya (papaya)
Lineage: Eukaryota; Viridiplantae; Streptophyta; Magnoliopsida; Brassicales; Caricaceae
Source: RNAcentral